CCAGAAGAGGAGUCGUACGGGUGAAGAGGUGAGCUCUAAGCGUAUACACAUAGAUAGAUCUGGGUAAGCGACCAUCAGCGGUAUGGGUAGCAGCUACUAUCAGUACGCCAGUCUAAGGCUGUUCGUAGAGGUAGGUCGUAGAGAUCUAUGAAGGGCUAUCUUUAGCAUAAAUAGCAUGGUUAAUUAUAGAAUAGCGUGAUGGCCGUAAGAAGAUCAUAAAUAAGGUAAAUAGUCUGGAGUGGAUGUCUA
This 249-nucleotide long non-coding RNA is filed under the name Nicotiana benthamiana. RNAcentral describes it as "long non-coding RNA (NBEN_LNC018208)". Lineage: Eukaryota; Viridiplantae; Streptophyta; Magnoliopsida; Solanales; Solanaceae. The record is from RNAcentral.